ACGUUCCCUACUGGAGAGAGGCCGUUUUCAAAGUGGCCCACCGAAGGAGCAAACCUGCAUCGCCAGGCGAAUCUCUCAGGUAAAGUGGACAGCAGGGGCAGC
Burkholderiales bacterium is the source of this 102-nucleotide non-coding RNA. The record is from Rfam. Lineage: Bacteria; Pseudomonadati; Pseudomonadota; Betaproteobacteria; Burkholderiales.